RNAcentral lists this unclassified non-coding RNA (306 nucleotides) under uncultured Sordariomycetes. Its description in RNAcentral is "sequence contains ITS1". The stretch from base 1 to 105 matches the Rfam family "5.8S ribosomal RNA", at positions 50 to 154 of the family's 154-position model. The record is from RNAcentral. Lineage: Eukaryota; Fungi; Ascomycota; Sordariomycetes.
GAAAUGCGAUAAGUAAUGUGAAUUGCAGAAUUCAGUGAAUCAUCGAAUCUUUGAACGCACAUUGCGCCCGCUAGUAUUCUGGCGGGCAUGCCUGUUCGAGCGUCAUUUCAACCAUCAAGCCCUGCUUGUGUUGGGGACCUGCGGCUGCCCGCAGGCCCUGAAAAACAGUGGCGGGCUCGCUGUCAUCCCGAGCGCAGUAAUUCUAAUAUCUCGCUUUGGGCGUGCGGCGGGCACCCGGCCGUUAAACAAACCAAAUCUUAACGCAAGGUUGACCUCGGAUCAGGUAGGAAUACCCGCUGAACUUAA